AUGGUGGUGCAUGACUGUAAUCCCAGCACUCAGGAGGCUGAGGCAGGAGGAUCCCUGAGAGUUCAAGACCAGCCUGGGCUACAAAGUGAGCUCAAGGCCAGCCUGAACUGCAUAGCGAGACCCUGUCUCAAAAAGACAAAAAAACCCACAAAACAUUAUUUUCAAGAAUUCAGAAAUAAAGGACAGAAAAGAAGGCAGAGAGAGAGAGAAAAAGGGAAAGAAAGAGAGACCAAGAUACAACCAACUGUUCCAAUGGAAUCUGCUGAAAAGACUACCUUUACUUACUCCACUGGCUGCUUUUGCAUCUCUGCCAAGAUCAAAGACCAUGUAUGUACAUGUAGGCCCAUUUCUUGACUCCCUGUUCUGUUCCAUGUAUCUAUAUUCUAUCUUCACGUAAACACAACACUGUCAUGAUGACUGUACCUGUGUAGUAAGCUUUUUAAAACUGGGUUUAUGAUUCCUCCAACCAUGUCUUUCUGUUUCAAGAAUUUGUUUUAGCUAUUUUAAUUCCUCUAUCCUUCAUGUAAGUUUUACAACCUGGUUAUAUAAAAAAAUAAUUAGUUGUGGCCUGAUACAAGGAUAAUUUGGUAGGUUCUGGACAGGCUCUGUUAAAAAGUAUACUUUAACUGUACUAUUUAUAUGAAAUUCAUAUUUUUUAAGGUUAAUGGAUCUGAAACUCUGAACAUAACCUUUUGAAAUGUAAACAAAGGCUAAGAGAAAUAAUAUCUCAGACCCAGUCAUCUAAACCUUUAACGUAAGGGACUGGAGCGUAACUCAUGUGCGGAGCAUAUACAAGGCCCCAGAUUCUAUCUCCUGAAAGAUCUUUACCAAGGAACAACUUAUCAGAUUCUUUCUCCAAAGACGGAAUGAACAAUUUAAUUUGGGAGAUGGAGAGGUUAAAAAAGAUGGGAUAAUUCUGUGUCAAAAGUAUCACCUCAAGAUAAAUUUUAUGCCACUACUUGAGUAAGGGGCAGUGACUGGAAGCUAAUUAAAGAAUUCCUCCUACUUCCCAAUUUUCUAGGACACAUAAUAUGCCUUGUAAGUACUGUAAUAAAGUUCUUUUUAUAGCCAAAGGCAAAUGACACAUUCCUAUCCAUCUAUUCAUACCCCUUAAUUAUAGCACUACUUUCAGUAAC
This 1136-nucleotide long non-coding RNA is filed under the name Chinchilla lanigera (long-tailed chinchilla). RNAcentral describes it as "lncRNA (ENSCLAG00000023806.1)". The record is from RNAcentral. Lineage: Eukaryota; Metazoa; Chordata; Mammalia; Rodentia; Chinchillidae.